UACGUAUGGUGCAAGCGUUAUCCGGAUUUACUGGGUGUAAAGGGAGCGUAGGCGGCGCGUUAAGUCUGAUGUGAAAACCCGAGGCUCAACCCCCGGACUGCUCUGGAAACUGUACGGCUGGAGUGCAGGAGAGAUAAGUGGAAUUCCUAGUGUAGCGGUGAAAUGCGUAGAUAUUAGGAGGAACACCAGUGGCGAAGGCGGCUUACUGGACUGUAACUGACGUUGAGGCUCGAAAGCGUGGGGAGCAAACAGG
RNAcentral lists this ribosomal RNA (253 nucleotides) under uncultured bacterium. Its description in RNAcentral is "partial 16S ribosomal RNA". It matches the Rfam family "Bacterial small subunit ribosomal RNA", at positions 524 to 776 of the family's 1533-position model. The record is from RNAcentral.